AAUGGAGCCCGAGUAUAGUGUGUUUGUCGGUUAACUGUUAUUUGGCCUAUUUUACAGUUUUAAACGCAGUAUGAGGUUUGAUGUUUUCAUUUUAUAGUUUCGUGUGCAUAUUUUACUGUUUUAUUAAUUAUGGAUUGAAUGACUGAGAUAUUGACGCUGUAUGUUGUCCGUUUGGCAUAAAUUACUGUUUUGCUUGUUUGUAUGUGAAUUGAUGAUGCUGACUGAGGAAAAAGAGAAUGAAAGAUUAUGUAAAUUGGUAAUCGUAUAAUGUGGUCAGCCUGACUAGAUAUCCUGGGAGAUGGUGGACGGACCGGGUCCGUAGGGAACCCUACCGGGAUUGUGGUCUCCCGUACCGGACGGGGUAUGGAGAUCU
RNAcentral lists this long non-coding RNA (373 nucleotides) under Carica papaya (papaya). RNAcentral describes it as "long non-coding RNA (CPAP_LNC006778)". The record is from RNAcentral. Lineage: Eukaryota; Viridiplantae; Streptophyta; Magnoliopsida; Brassicales; Caricaceae.